UGGGGAAUUUUGGACAAUGGGCGCAAGCCUGAUCCAGCAAUGCCGCGUGCAGGAUGAAGGCCUUCGGGUUGUAAACUGCUUUUGUACGGAACGAAACGGCUUUUUCUAAUAAAGGGAGCUAAUGACGGUACCGUAAGAAUAAGCACCGGCUAACUACGUGCCAGCAGCCGCGGUAAUACGUAGGGUGCGAGCGUUAAUCGGAAUUACUGGGCGUAAAGCGUGCGCAGGCGGUUUUGUAAGACGGAUGUGAAAUCCCCGGGCUCAACCUGGGACCUGCAUUUGUGACUGCAAGGCUAGAGUACGGUAGAGGGGGAUGGAAUUCCGCGUGUAGCAGUGAAAUGCGUAGAUAUGCGGAGGAACACCGAUGGCGAAGGCAAUCCCCUGGACCUGUACUGACGCUCAUGCACGAAAGCGUGGGGAGCAAACA
This 427-nucleotide ribosomal RNA is filed under the name uncultured Comamonadaceae bacterium. Its description in RNAcentral is "bacterial SSU rRNA". It matches the Rfam family "Bacterial small subunit ribosomal RNA", at positions 355 to 774 of the family's 1533-position model. Lineage: Bacteria; Pseudomonadati; Pseudomonadota; Betaproteobacteria; Burkholderiales; Comamonadaceae. The record is from RNAcentral.